RNAcentral lists this transfer RNA (85 nucleotides) under Candidatus Zixiibacteriota bacterium. Its description in RNAcentral is "tRNA-Leu". It matches the Rfam family "tRNA". From Rfam's summary of the family: Transfer RNA (tRNA) molecules are approximately 80 nucleotides in length. Their secondary structure includes four short double-helical elements and three loops (D, anti-codon, and T loops). Further hydrogen bonds mediate the characteristic L-shaped molecular structure. tRNAs have two regions of fundamental functional importance: the anti-codon, which is responsible for specific mRNA codon recognition, and the 3' end, to which the tRNAs corresponding amino acid is attached (by aminoacyl-tRNA synthetases). tRNAs cope with the degeneracy of the genetic code in two manners: having more than one tRNA (with a specific anti-codon) for a particular amino acid; and 'wobble' base-pairing, i.e. permitting non-standard base-pairing at the 3rd anti-codon position. The record is from RNAcentral. Lineage: Bacteria; Pseudomonadati; Candidatus Zixiibacteriota.
GCGGAAGUGGUGGAAUAGGUAGACACACCAUCUUGAGGGGGUGGCGGGUAAAACCGUGGGGGUUCAAAUCCCCCCUUCCGCACCA